AACGAACGCUGGCGGCAUGCCUAACACAUGCAAGUCGAACGAGACCGUCGGGCCUAGGGGCGCACGGGUGCGUAACGCGUGGGAAGCUGCCCGUAGGUUCGCAAUAACUCCCCGAGAGGUGUCCUAAUACCGGAUAAGGUCUUAGGGCCAAAGAUUUAUUGCUGGUGGUUGGGCCCGCGUUGGUUUGGCGGGUUGGUAGGGUAAAACCAUGCCAAGGCGACGUGCCAGAGCUGUUCCGUGCGGAUGAUUAGCCACACUGGAAAUGCGACACGGCCUCGAACGCGACGGGAGGCAGCAGUGGGGAAUAUUGGACACUGAGCCAAGGCCUGGUCCAGCAAUGCCGGGUAUGUGAGGAAGGCCUUAGGGUUGUAAAGCUCUUUUACCCGAGAUGAUAAUGACAGUACCGGGAGAAUAAGCUCCGGCUAACUACGUG
Molecule: ribosomal RNA, 433 nt
Filed under: uncultured bacterium
Lineage: Bacteria
Description: partial 16S ribosomal RNA
Rfam family: Bacterial small subunit ribosomal RNA
Source: RNAcentral